GCGGAUUUAGCUCAGUUGGUAGAGCUUCAGCUUCCCAAGCUGAAGGUCGUCCCGAUAUAAAUCGGGAUAAUCCGCUCCA
Molecule: transfer RNA, 79 nt
Filed under: Candidatus Tenebribacter mawsonii
Lineage: Bacteria; Pseudomonadati; Candidatus Cloacimonadota; Cloacimonadia (SeqCode); Cloacimonadales (SeqCode)
Description: tRNA-Gly
Rfam family: tRNA
About the family: Transfer RNA (tRNA) molecules are approximately 80 nucleotides in length. Their secondary structure includes four short double-helical elements and three loops (D, anti-codon, and T loops).
Source: RNAcentral